Molecule: ribosomal RNA, 117 nt
Filed under: Elusimicrobiota bacterium
Lineage: Bacteria; Pseudomonadati; Elusimicrobiota
Source: RNAcentral
CCCGGUGCUAUUCGUGAUGGGGUCACACCCGUUCCCAUUCCGAACACGGCCGUUAAGCCCAUCCACGCCGAUGGUACUCGGACCGCGAGGUCCCGGGAGAGUAGGUCGGCGCCGGGA